UACGGAGGGUGCGAGCGUUGUCCGGAAUCACUGGGCGUAAAGGGCGCGUAGGUGGCCUGUGGAAGUCUGCGGUGAAAGCCCGGCGCUCAACGCCGGGUCGGCCGUGGAUACUCUCGGGCUUGAGCUCACUAGAGGCAGAUGGAAUUCCGGGUGUAGCGGUGGAAUGCGUAGAGAUCCGGAAGAACACCAGUGGCGAAGGCGACUCACUGGACACGUAUUGACGCUGAGGUGCGAAAGCGUGGGGAGCAAACAGG
Molecule: ribosomal RNA, 254 nt
Filed under: uncultured bacterium
Lineage: Bacteria
Description: partial 16S ribosomal RNA
Rfam family: Bacterial small subunit ribosomal RNA
Source: RNAcentral